AUUGAACGCUGGCGGCAGGCCUAACACAUGCAAGUCGAACGAGUGGCGGACGGGUGAGUAAUGUCUGGGAAACUGCCUGAUGGAGGGGUAUCACUACUGGAAACGGUAGCUAAUACCGCAUACCAUCGGAUGUGCCCAGAUGGGAUUAGCUAGUGGGUGGGGUAAGUGCUCACCUAGGCGACGAUCCCUAGCUGGUGUGAGAGGAUGACCAGCCACUGUGGAACUGAGAGACGGCCGAGAUGCCUACGGGAGGCAGCAUGGGGGAAUAUUGCACAAUGGGCGCAAGCCUGAUGCAGCCAUGCCGCGUGUAUGAAGAAGGCCUUCGGGUUGUAAAGCACUUUCAGCGGGGAGGCGUUACCCGCAGAAGAAGCACCGGCUAACUCCGUGCCAGCCGCCGCGGUAAUAC
RNAcentral lists this ribosomal RNA (406 nucleotides) under uncultured bacterium. Its description in RNAcentral is "partial 16S ribosomal RNA". It matches the Rfam family "Bacterial small subunit ribosomal RNA", at positions 30 to 526 of the family's 1533-position model. The record is from RNAcentral.